This is a long non-coding RNA of Amborella trichopoda, 2251 nucleotides long. RefSeq lists it as uncharacterized. Lineage: Eukaryota; Viridiplantae; Streptophyta; Magnoliopsida; Amborellales; Amborellaceae. The record is from RefSeq and is a predicted model, not a curated record.
UUCAAGCCCAAGUUUCUCAGUCCACAUAACAAAGAGAUACAGGCGGGCCACACACACAGAGAGACCUUCCCUUUAAAUCCUUUAACUUCCGUCUCAUUGGGCCUUGGAAGGGUUGCCACUCAGAAAGUCAAUAUAAACUACCAUGCUACUCUCUUCUGCAACUGCCGUAGUAGUUACAGAGAGAGGGGAGAGAGCUCCAACACAAUAGUUUUCCAUUGAGAAAACCAAAGUAAAACCACCUCACAAACCCCGUCCAUAGCUGCAAUGGCAGUUGUAGAAUGCGGCCUCAUACCAAGCAAAAGAGAAAGAAUUUGGAAGAGUGAGUUUAUCAUGAAAAUGGUCUAGGUUCCUCGAUUUCACAUGAAGAAGCUCAAGCAGAAAAGAAGAGAAACCUCCGCCAUUAAAGUUUCAAGGUGAAAGCUAAGUCAAAUGAAGCUCAAGCAGGAAAGAAGAGAAACCUCCGCCAUUAAAGUUUCAAGGGUGAAAGCUAAGUCAAAUGGAAUAAGGAGUUGUAGACACUCUAGGCCUUGGCAAACUAAGUCAAAUGGAAGAGGUACAAGCUAAGUCAAAUGGAUUAGGUAGAUGUAUAGUAGUCUAGGUCAAUUUAUAUAUAUAGGCCAAUUUACAUUCCAAUAAGAUGUAUAGUAGUGUAGGCCAAUUUACAUUUCUUUAGGCCAAAAUUGUUGCACAAAGAUGGACGAUUGGAGCAGUGGAGUUCUCCUCUCUCACUUCUCUGUCUUCUCUCUCUGACCAAGUUAUAUGUAAAAAAGCCAUUGGAGAAAUAGAGUUCUGCUGUAUUAUCUAUCAAAUGGACCUGUUUGUUUAGUGAUAUCUGAAGACAAAAACAUGUGUUUUUUUUUUUUAUCAUUUGCAAUUUCUCAAAAUAGUAGCUGGUUACAUGAUUGCUUGAUUGGCUAUUGGUCUUCUGGUUUAUAUGUGAAAGGCUCUUGCCUUGGGGUGAUUGCGCUCAACACAGAGCAUGAGCACGGGGGAGCUUUUUCCUCUGCAACAUCAGAACAUACAUGUGCUGGUGAUACUGAUGCAAUGGUGACACGAGCUGGACUUCCACUAGAGGUCUGUUUAUGGUGUUAGAUAUACCAUGCAAAGUCUAGUUAUAACAGGUCUCUAGUGUACUAGUGUUGACAAGAUUUUAAAUUAUCCGUUUGAUACUGUUGUCCUGUUGCAGGAUCUUGAGUUGGUGCAGGACCAAUACCAUGAAUUUUAACCAUGGUGUAGGCAGGAUUUAAGUCUUUUUUAUUUCUUUAAUAGACAUUGGUUUAAUGCCAUCUCCUUUUUUUAUGUUAACACAUAGAAUGAAGUGACCAGUUCUAGUUGAGGCUGCCCCCUUUUGCUGUUCGGGGAUAGUCACAAAAUGACAUUCUAUUCAUUUUUGAACCAGAGGGUUCUAGUUUACAUGCAUUCUUAAUUCCUUGGUGGUGGAGAUUAAUAUGUUAUGCUGCUUUGAUUUUUCGUAUGUGACAUUUGCAGUAAUAUUUGACGUUUUAUAUCUAAUAUAGAACCACAUCUGUCUCCAUAUGAAUCACCUUCCACCAGAUGUGUAUCAAGAAGAGAUGCCAUCUUUGCAGAAGUUGAUGUUACCAAGGAGCCAAUCCCUGUGAUACCUACUGUUCAUUAGAUAUGCGUGGUAUCCCAACAAAUUACCACGGAGAAGUAUAAUAGAACUGCGUGGUAUCCCAACAAAUUACCACGGAAAGUAUAAUAUGGAACUAAGGAUGAUUUCAUGUGUCAUAGUUCCUUCGUGCCAGGUUGUUAGUGUUAUUUUGUUUCAAUAUCUGUCAUUACAAAUUGGUCCGUCUGCUUCAUAGGUUGUUGGUAUUAAAGGUGAUGACCAUGAUGCUAUUGUUCGUGGAUUAAUGGUAGCUGAUGAAGCAGUUUGUGCUUCAGUGCAUAGUGCUAACAUAUUUGGUGUCAAUUCCCUUCUGGAUAUCGUUGUAUUUGACCGAGCUUGUAGCAAUAGGGUCGUAGAAAUCUGUAAGUCGUGCAUGAUUGACUUCUUGUUGAAGAUUGCUGUUACUUAAAAUUGGACUAGUGUGGCUACUGGUUCAUGACAACAUGUUCUUUAUUUUAUGUGCUUGAGAAGCAAAAGCCUCUAGUGAUGAUGGGCAGAAGACUGUUGCGAGGUUAGACAAGCAAAGGAACUCAAAUAGCUCCCAGCCUACCAUGAAGACUCUUCGUAAUAUGCAACAGGGUGACGCAGAAACUCUACCUUUACAGAGAAUAUUGAACUAGA